ACGCUGGCGGCGUGCCUAACACAUGCAAGUCGAGCGAGGAGAUUCCCUUCGGGGAUGAACCUAGCGGCGGACGGGUGAGUAACACGUGGGCAACCUGCCUUAUAGAGGGGAAUAGCCUUCCGAAAGGAAGAUUAAUACCGCAUAACAUUACAUUUUUCGCAUGAAGAAGUAAUUAAAGGAGUAAUCCGCUAUAAGAUGGGCCCGCGGCGCAUUAGCUAGUUGGUGAGGUAACGGCUCACCAAGGCGACGAUGCGUAGCCGACCUGAGAGGGUGAUCGGCCACAUUGGGACUGAGACACGGCCCAGACUCCUACGGGAGGCAGCAGUGGGGAAUAUUGCACAAUGGGGGAAACCCUGAUGCAAGCAACGCCGCGUGAGUGAUGAAGGUCUUCGGAUCGUAAAGCUCUGUCUUCAGGGACGAUAAUGACGGUACCUGAGGAGGAAGCCACGGCUAACUACGUGCCAGCCGCAGC
Molecule: ribosomal RNA, 472 nt
Filed under: uncultured bacterium
Lineage: Bacteria
Description: bacterial SSU rRNA
Rfam family: Bacterial small subunit ribosomal RNA
Source: RNAcentral